Molecule: long non-coding RNA, 1127 nt
Organism: Heteronotia binoei (common prickly gecko)
Lineage: Eukaryota; Metazoa; Chordata; Lepidosauria; Squamata; Gekkonidae
Exons: 4
Source: RefSeq, a predicted model, not a curated record
UUACUUAGGCCCGGGAAGACAGCCUUACUGGAGCAACAAGUUUGUGCCCUAGCUUUAAGCCUCCACUCAAGUUACAAGAUUCCAGCUCCAGCCUAUAUCUCAAGCUCCAAGCCUCACCAACCCAGGAUUGAGGGCCCUACUUUAGAAGAAACCCAACUGGGCCUACUGCAAAUAGGGAUUCUGAACUACUAGUUGAUUCAGUUUAUAUUCUGCUGACCAAUCAUAAGCAGGGAGACAUUUUUUGAAACUUGCUUUUAACUCAGCCGUUCUUGCCUUGAUUUUUGUAAGCUAAUUUAGCCAUUUUAUGGAGAAUGCAGCAAAACAAGUUUUUCCCUAAAACCUUUUGUGCUCAGGUUUGUGGAACGAACUACCAUGGUAAGUUGCAGCCUGUGAUGGUACAGUGGCUGUUCUGCAAGAUGAAAAUCAAGGCUCUUGGAUUCUCCAUUGCCAAUCUCAUGUCAGCACAAGAAAAAUAACAGUUGCCUCUGGCACAUAACCCUCGUUCCCUAAUAAUGCAGUGGAUUCGUCACUUCCCGCAAAGCAAUCACACCUCAUUCUUUUGAAGCACUGAAGACUGAUCUCAUUUCUAAUUCUUCAUGGGUUUUAUGUAUUUUUUUCUUAUGGUCAUGCUCUAGCUUCAUUCUUCCUCAACAGCUCUCCAGAACUUGAUAGCUCUUAACCUACAUUGCAUUGUCAGGGAAGAAAAAUGCCCAGUUCACAGUUUAUCAUUUUUUUUUUUAAAGAAGCUUUCCGUUCUCGGAUUUAUCUGCAGUAUUAAACCUCUCUUUGUUUUAAUUAGUUCUGCCAAGUGAUUCAUGACAUUUCAUGACAAUAAUAGCAGCUCUUGGAUUUCCCCCCUUCUCUCUUUUAUUUAAUCAUUCUUUGGAGAAUUUUGGGCAGCAAUGCAUUGCAUAUAAAAAAAUCCUCAUCCAGUUUAAAGUUACAUUCCAUAUAAAUGUAGCGAUGAGUGAAUGUUCCUACUGCACUUUUUUAAAAUCAUGGCUAUUUUUUGACAGUGGUUUCUGCUUUUCCACAUUUGGUUUUCUAUGCUAUGGUUGAAACAUGCUGUACUUUUAUAUGCAAUUGGUAUAGUGCGAUUAAAUAAAAUUAGUUGGAUUGAACAGUAA